Molecule: ribosomal RNA, 467 nt
Filed under: uncultured bacterium
Lineage: Bacteria
Description: partial 16S ribosomal RNA
Rfam family: Bacterial small subunit ribosomal RNA
Source: RNAcentral
GAUGAACGCUGGCGGCGUGCUUAACACAUGCAAGUCGAACGGAAAGGCCCAAGUUUGCUUGGGUACUCGAGUGGCGAACGGGUGAGUAACACGUGGGUAAUCUGCCCUUCACUUCGGGAUAAGCCUGGGAAACUGGGUCUAAUACUGGAUAGGACCUCCUCCUGGAUGUUGUGGUGGAGAGUUUUUUCGGUGUGGGGAUGGCUCGCGGGCUAUCAGCUUGUUGGUGGGGUGAUGGGCUACCAAGGGGUCGUCGGGUAGCCGGCCUGGGAGGGUGUACGGGCACAAUGGGGAUGGGGGAAGGCCCAGAAUUCCAAGGGGGGGAAGAGGGGGGAAUAAUGGACAAUGGGGGGAAGGCUGGUGCAGCGAAGGCGGGGGGGGGAAGAAGGGCUUCGGGUUGUAAACUCGUUUCGGUAGGGAAGAAGCGGUUUGUGACGGUAACGGGUGAAGAAGCACCGGCUAACUACGUG